RNAcentral lists this ribosomal RNA (2985 nucleotides) under Salmonella enterica subsp. enterica serovar Uganda. RNAcentral's name for it is "23S ribosomal RNA". It matches the Rfam family "Bacterial large subunit ribosomal RNA". Lineage: Bacteria; Pseudomonadati; Pseudomonadota; Gammaproteobacteria; Enterobacterales; Enterobacteriaceae. The record is from RNAcentral.
GGUUAAGCGACUAAGCGUACACGGUGGAUGCCCUGGCAGUCAGAGGCGAUGAAGGGCGUGCUAAUCUGCGAUAAGCGCCGGUAAGGUGAUAUGAACCGUUAUAACCGGCGAUACCCGAAUGGGGAAACCCAGUGUGACUCGUCACACUAUCAUUAACUGAAUCCAUAGGUUAAUGAGGCGAACCGGGGGAACUGAAACAUCUAAGUACCCCGAGGAAAAGAAAUCAACCGAGAUUCCCCCAGUAGCGGCGAGCGAACGGGGAGGAGCCCAGAGCCUGAAUCAGCAUGUGUGUUAGUGGAAGCGUCUGGAAAGGCGCGCGAUACAGGGUGACAGCCCCGUACACAAAAGCGCAUGUGCUGUGAGCUCGAUGAGUAGGGCGGGACACGUGGUAUCCUGUCUGAAUAUGGGGGGACCAUCCUCCAAGGCUAAAUACUCCUGACUGACCGAUAGUGAACCAGUACCGUGAGGGAAAGGCGAAAAGAACCCCGGCGAGGGGAGUGAAAAAGAACCUGAAACCGUGUACGUACAAGCAGUGGGAGCACCCUUCGGGGUGUGACUGCGUACCUUUUGUAUAAUGGGUCAGCGACUUAUAUUCUGUAGCAAGGUUAACCGAAUAGGGGAGCCGUAGGGAAACCGAGUCUUAACCGGGCGUUAAGUUGCAGGGUAUAGACCCGAAACCCGGUGAUCUAGCCAUGGGCAGGUUGAAGGUUGGGUAACACUAACUGGAGGACCGAACCGACUAAUGUUGAAAAAUUAGCGGAUGACCUGUGGCUGGGGGUGAAAGGCCAAUCAAACCGGGAGAUAGCUGGUUCUCCCCGAAAGCUAUUUAGGUAGCGCCUCGUGAAUUCAUCUCCGGGGGUAGAGCACUGUUUCGGCUAGGGGGCCAUCCCGGCUUACCAACCCGAUGCAAACUGCGAAUACCGGAGAAUGUUAUCACGGGAGACACACGGCGGGUGCUAACGUCCGUCGUGAAGAGGGAAACAACCCAGACCGCCAGCUAAGGUCCCAAAGUCAUGGUUAAGUGGGAAACGAUGUGGGAAGGCCCAGACAGCCAGGAUGUUGGCUUAGAAGCAGCCAUCAUUUAAAGAAAGCGUAAUAGCUCACUGGUCGAGUCGGCCUGCGCGGAAGAUGUAACGGGGCUAAACCAUGCACCGAAGCUGCGGCAGCGAACGUAUCACUUAAAGCGAUUCAGCGGGUUACGAUUGACGGAGCGAAGCGACGUCAAAGCGUAUACAAAGUCGAGUCGGUUUAAGGAUACGUUCGUUGGGUAGGGGAGCGUUCUGUAAGCCUGUGAAGGUGGCCUGUGAGGGUUGCUGGAGGUAUCAGAAGUGCGAAUGCUGACAUAAGUAACGAUAAAGCGGGUGAAAAGCCCGCUCGCCGGAAGACCAAGGGUUCCUGUCCAACGUUAAUCGGGGCAGGGUGAGUCGACCCCUAAGGCGAGGCCGAAAGGCGUAGUCGAUGGGAAACGGGUUAAUAUUCCCGUACUUGGUGUUACUGCGAAGGGGGGACGGAGAAGGCUAUGUUGGCCGGGCGACGGUUGUCCCGGUUUAAGCGUGUAGGCUGGUUUUCCAGGCAAAUCCGGAAAAUCAAGGCUGAGGCGUGACGACGAGGCACUACGGUGCUGAAGCAACAAAUGCCCUGCUUCCAGGAAAAGCCUCUAAGCAUCAGGUAACAUCAAAUCGUACCCCAAACCGACACAGGUGGUCAGGUAGAGAAUACCAAGGCGCUUGAGAGAACUCGGGUGAAGGAACUAGGCAAAAUGGUGCCGUAACUUCGGGAGAAGGCACGCUGACACGUAGGUGAAGUGAUUUACUCAUGGAGCUGAAGUCAGUCGAAGAUACCAGCUGGCUGCAACUGUUUAUUAAAAACACAGCACUGUGCAAACACGAAAGUGGACGUAUACGGUGUGACGCCUGCCCGGUGCCGGAAGGUUAAUUGAUGGGGUCAGCGCAAGCGAAGCUCCUGAUCGAAGCCCCGGUAAACGGCGGCCGUAACUAUAACGGUCCUAAGGUAGCGAAAUUCCUUGUCGGGUAAGUUCCGACCUGCACGAAUGGCGUAAUGAUGGCCAGGCUGUCUCCACCCGAGACUCAGUGAAAUUGAACUCGCUGUGAAGAUGCAGUGUACCCGCGGCAAGACGGAAAGACCCCGUGAACCUUUACUAUAGCUUGACACUGAACAUUGAGCCUUGAUGUGUAGGAUAGGUGGGAGGCUUUGAAGCGUGGACGCCAGUCUGCGUGGAGCCGACCUUGAAAUACCACCCUUUAAUGUUUGAUGUUCUAACGUGGACCCGUAAUCCGGGUUGCGGACAGUGUCUGGUGGGUAGUUUGACUGGGGCGGUCUCCUCCUAAAGAGUAACGGAGGAGCACGAAGGUUGGCUAAUCCUGGUCGGACAUCAGGAGGUUAGUGCAAUGGCAUAAGCCAGCUUGACUGCGAGCGUGACGGCGCGAGCAGGUGCGAAAGCAGGUCAUAGUGAUCCGGUGGUUCUGAAUGGAAGGGCCAUCGCUCAACGGAUAAAAGGUACUCCGGGGAUAACAGGCUGAUACCGCCCAAGAGUUCAUAUCGACGGCGGUGUUUGGCACCUCGAUGUCGGCUCAUCACAUCCUGGGGCUGAAGUAGGUCCCAAGGGUAUGGCUGUUCGCCAUUUAAAGUGGUACGCGAGCUGGGUUUAGAACGUCGUGAGACAGUUCGGUCCCUAUCUGCCGUGGGCGCUGGAGAACUGAGGGGGGCUGCUCCUAGUACGAGAGGACCGGAGUGGACGCAUCACUGGUGUUCGGGUUGUCAUGCCAAUGGCACUGCCCGGUAGCUAAAUGCGGAAGAGAUAAGUGCUGAAAGCAUCUAAGCACGAAACUUGCCCCGAGAUGAGUUCUCCCUGAGACUUUAGGUCUCCUGAAGGAACGUUGAAGACGACGACGUUGAUAGGCCGGGUGUGUAAGCGCAGCGAUGCGUUGAGCUAACCGGUACUAAUGAACCGUGAGGCUUAACCUU